Molecule: long non-coding RNA, 161 nt
Organism: Thalassophryne amazonica
Lineage: Eukaryota; Metazoa; Chordata; Actinopteri; Batrachoidiformes; Batrachoididae
Exons: 3
Source: RefSeq, a predicted model, not a curated record
UUUUGCUUUUAAGUCAAGUCAAAGUGUACUUUAUUGUCAAAAAUCUAUGUAACAGGGUUAGCACAGAAGAUUGAAAUUGCGUUUGAUCAGUCUCCAAUGUGCAGUUAAACUAAACAUAUAGAUAAGACAUUGACAAUAAACACACACACACACACACACAC